CCUACGGGAGGCAGCAGUGGGGAAUAUUGCACAAUGGGCGAAAGCCUGAUGCAGCAACGCCGCGUGAAGGAAGAAGGGUUUCGGCUCGUAAACUUCUGUCAACAGGGACGAAAGAAAUGAAGGUACCUUAAUUAGAAGCCCCGGCUAACUACGUGCCAGCAGAUGCGGGAAUACGUAGGGGGCAAGCGUUAACCGGAAGUACUGGGUGGAAAGGGUGAGUAGGCGGGAUGGUAAGCCAGAUGUGAAAGCCUUGGGCUUAACCCGAGGAUUGCAUUGGAAACUAUCAAGCUAGAGUACAGGAGAGGAAAGCGGAAUUCCAAGGGUAGCGGUGAAAUGCGUAGAUAUUAGGAAGAACACCAGAGGCGAAGGCGGCUUUCUGGACUUAAACUGACGCUGAGGGACGAAAGCGUGGGGAGCGAACAGGAUUAGAUACCCGUGUAGUC
Molecule: ribosomal RNA, 443 nt
Filed under: uncultured bacterium
Lineage: Bacteria
Description: partial 16S ribosomal RNA
Rfam family: Bacterial small subunit ribosomal RNA
Source: RNAcentral